Long non-coding RNA from Gasterosteus aculeatus aculeatus (three-spined stickleback), 806 nucleotides. The record is from Ensembl. Lineage: Eukaryota; Metazoa; Chordata; Actinopteri; Perciformes; Gasterosteidae.
CUCGUCUUGUUCUUCAGAAAUAUUCUUGCAACCUUCAUGACUCCGAACGUAUUGUGUUUGUAAAGGAUUUAAUGUCGUCCAAUCAAUAUGCAACAUACGUGGUGCUACAAUACAGUUAUACUUAUCAUUUCCCAUAAUUUCGGAUUAUUUUGAAAUAUAUUUUGAAAUGUAACAAAUGAAAUAGUGUAUAGGCUUAACGUGAUGUGCAAAAUAUAUUUUACUCUGCGACACGUGUCAAUUUACAGUUGUACACCAUAACAAUGUAUUAAAGAAUAAUUACAUUCAUUUUAUAUUAAUACAAUAUUUUAAAGGUUUUAUGAUACGUUCAGCGGCUCCUCAAAAAUUGACCAAAGUGAUUUUAGCCAAAAUAUGUAAUUUUGAGAACUCGUAACUGAUGGUGAGAUUGUUUCAACAAACACACAUCCAACUCGCAUAACAAUUUAAAGCGAUUACACUCCCCUUUGACGGAUAUCGCUACCCGCUGACAUACAUUAUGCUCCAAUUUAAGGAUGAUUCUGUAACGUUGAAGGGAAAAAAAAGCGUAGUAAUGCGGGGUGAUAAUGCUAUUGAAAUAUAUUCAAGGGGGCCUCUCACUGGGUCUCGAGGUGCAUGACACUGUAUUGAGAUUCCAGAUAUCCAGACUCUCCAUGCAUGUCCCUGAUGGGGUUUUGACUGACGUGAUGGGCACAGAGGAUUGUUGAUGGGGGUUACCUUUGUGCUUGCCCCCUUAGAGAUUCAGAAAGCUGUAUGCCUGGCCCGAGGCCUCGGCACAGGGGGCAGAUUUGAUGUGGGGUUGGCCAUGCCGG